This 2782-nucleotide ribosomal RNA is filed under the name invertebrate metagenome. RNAcentral describes it as "bacterial LSU rRNA". The stretch from base 123 to 2538 matches the Rfam family "Bacterial large subunit ribosomal RNA". The record is from RNAcentral.
UUUUUUCAGCUUUAAUUUCCCUUUAUCUUAUUAGUAGUACUUAAAUUCUGAAGAAUCUCUUGAGCCUGUAGCUCAGUUGGUUAGAGCAUACGCCUGAUAAGCGUAAGGUCAGUAGUUCAAAUCUACUUAGGCUCUAAAGCAAUAAGUGGAUGCCUUGGCACCAGAAAACUAGACGUUUUUCGAAAAGUAAUGUUUUUCACAUAAAGUGUAUUAAAAUAUUGCGGUCUAAAGAAGAAAACUUCUGUUAUAAAAACAAAAUAAAGAGAGUGAAUUGAAACAUCUUAGUAACUCUUGAAAAAAUCAAACGAGAUUCCGUAAUUAGUGGCGAGCAAAAGCGGAAAAGAUGCUUUAUACUUAAACUUAGAAAUCAAAGUCAGAGAAGGUGUAAACCCUGUAACAGUUUUGGUAUAUUGUAAUGAAGUAGGGCAGUUGAUAUCUGUUUGAAUAUUGGGGUUCCACCCUCAAUUCUAAAAAUUUUUGGUGACCGAUAGCAAAAAAGUACCGUAAGGGAAAGGUGAAAAAAACUCUUUUAGAGAGUGAAAAUAUCUGAAACUUAUUGUUUACAAACUGUUGACGUUCUGUUUUUACUGAACAACAGCUUGCCUUUUGCAUAAUGAGCCAGUGACUUUUUUAAAGUGGCGAGCUUAAGUAGUUAUAUGAAAGCAAAGAGAAAUCGAAUACAAAUAAUGUUGAUAGUCACUUUAAUAAGACCCGAAACGAAGUGAUCUAACCAUGAACAGGUUGAAGAUAUUAUGGUAAUGUAAAUCGGAGGACCGAACUCGUGUAUGUGGAAAAAUACUGGGAUGAUUUGUGGUUAGGGGUGAAAGGCCAAUCAAACUUCGCGAUAGCUGGUUUUCCGCGAAAUCUAUUUAAGUAGAGCGUUCUUUUGUUGUUAAUGGGGUAGAGCUCUCGAUAAGCUAGGGGGGUUUUUAACUUUACCAAACUUAAUGAAACUACGAAUACGUUAAUAAAGAAUUUAACAUAAGAGCAGACAGAUAUUAGAUGCUAAGGUCUUUUAUCAAGAGGGAAACAGCCCAGAUUAAUUAUUAAGGUCUUAAAUAAAUGUUUAAGUGAAGAAUGCGAUGAUUAAACUAAGACAAUCAUUAGGUAGGCUUGGAAGCAGCCAUCUUUUAAAGAAAGCGUAACAGCUCGUUAAUCUAGUUUUUUUUGUGCUGAAGAUGUAUAGAGACUAAAACAUUAACCGAAAUAUUAAAUCAGAAAUGAUGGUAGCGGAACGUUCUGUUUUUUUAUGAAGAAAUGCUGCAAAGUUUUUUGGAGAAAUCAGAAGUGAGUAUACUGGCAUGAGUAGCGAUAAACAAUGUUAAAAACAUUGUCGCCGUAAGUCCAAGGGUUUUGAAGCAAGGCUAAUCCUCUUCAGUUAAAAUGCAUCAUUUUAGUAAUAAGACGGCCCCUAAGAUAAGAGACCAAAGUCUAUGUCAAUGGGUAAUUUUUAUAUCUUUCUUAAAAAAGUGACGGAAAUUAAAGUUUAUGUUUAUAGUAAAUAAAUGUUUACUAAAUUUCCCAAGAAAAAGCAAAAAACAAACCGUACUUUAAUCCGACACAGGUGGACAGGUUGAGUAAACUAAGGCGUUGAGAGAACUUUGUUGAAGGAACUCGGCAAAAUAACCCCGUAACUUCGGAAUAAGGGGUGACUUUUUGAGGGCAACCUUAGAAAGUUGGCACAGAAAUGGGGGUAGCAACUGCUUAGUAAAAGCACAGGUCUCUGCUAAUUUGUAAAAAGAAGUAUAGGGGCUGACGCCUGCCCGGUGCUGUAAAGUAAAAAAAUUAUUGUCUUGGCUUUAAUUUUAAACUCCAGUAAACGGCGGCCGUAACUCUGACGGUCCAAAGGUAGCGAAAUUCCUUGUCGGGUAAGUUCCGACCUGCAUGAAUGGCGUAAUGACUUCCCUACUGUCUCCAACAAAGACUCAGUGAAAUUGAAAUACCCGUGAAGAUGCGGGUUAUUUGCAGCUAGACGGAAAGACCCCGUGCAUCUUAACUAUUCGCAUAAAUUGUAAAAAGAUUGUUUUUGUGUAGGAUAGGUGGAAGCCGUUUGAAAUCUUUGCUUCGGCAAAUUAUUUAGGCGCCCUUGAAAUACCACCCUUCUACAAUUUUUUUACUCACUUUAUAUCAGGACCAUUUAUGUCAGGUAGUUUAGCUGGGGCGGUUACCUCCUAAAAAGUAACGGAGGUGUACAAAGGUAAACUCAAACAAUUUUCAUUGUUGUAGAGCGUAAUGGUACAUGUUUGCCUAACUGUAAGAUUGAUAAAUCGAACAGAGAUGAAAAUCGGUCAUAGUGAUCCGGUGGUUCUUUGUGGAAAGGCCAUCGCUCAACAAAUAAAAGAUACGCCGGGGAUAACAGGCUGAUGCCUCUCUAGAGCUCUUAUCGACAGGGGCGUUUGGCACCUCGAUGUCGGGUGCGAGCUGUUGGAUUGCAAAGUAAAGAUAGACUCUUGCUGAAAAUCCCUAACUUGGUUUAAUCUGGUUAGAACUUAUAUUUCAGGUGGGUAUUCACUCCCACAUACCUUCUCUUAAAUAGGUAUUGAUCAUACAACCAUCGGUUAGUCUGAUGGUGCGUCCCAAUGAAUGACUAGGCCCAAAACCUAUCACAUUUAGAAGCUGGGGUAAAAGCAUGUUAAAGAAUAAUUGUCAUUCUUGAAACGUGUUAGAAUGGUUAUAACAAGUUGAGCGAAAGCAAAGCAGUGUAAUAAAAUGGCGUUAUCGAGGAAGUUUGGGUUAUGGCAAGAACACUCCCAGGCCCCUAAACAUAGGGACAGUUUGUAUU